This 48-nucleotide transfer RNA is filed under the name Hoplosternum littorale (atipa). RNAcentral's name for it is "partial tRNA-Ser". The record is from RNAcentral. Lineage: Eukaryota; Metazoa; Chordata; Actinopteri; Siluriformes; Callichthyidae.
GAGAGGUAAGAAACAGUAAGGAUUGCUAAUCCAUACCCCCGUAGUUAA